This 253-nucleotide ribosomal RNA is filed under the name uncultured bacterium. RNAcentral's name for it is "partial 16S ribosomal RNA". It matches the Rfam family "Bacterial small subunit ribosomal RNA", at positions 524 to 776 of the family's 1533-position model. The record is from RNAcentral.
UACGAAGGGGGCUAGCGUUGCUCGGAAUUACUGGGCGUAAAGCGCACGUAGGCGGUCUUUUAAGUCGGGGGUGAAAUCCUGGAGCUCAACUCCAGAACUGCCUUCGAUACUGGAAGACUUGAGUCCGGGAGAGGUGAGUGGAACUGCGAGUGUAGAGGUGAAAUUCGUAGAUAUUCGCAAGAACACCAGUGGCGAAGGCGGCUCUCUGGCCCGGUACUGACGCUGAGGUGCGAAAGUGUGGGGAGCAAACAGG